This 405-nucleotide ribosomal RNA is filed under the name uncultured bacterium. RNAcentral describes it as "partial 16S ribosomal RNA". It matches the Rfam family "Bacterial small subunit ribosomal RNA", at positions 28 to 526 of the family's 1533-position model. The record is from RNAcentral.
GAUGAACGCUGGCGGCGUGCCUAAUACAUGCAAGUCGAGCGAAGCGGGGACGGGUGAGUAACACGUGGAUAACCUCCUAUAAGACUGGGAUAACUUCGGGAAACCGGAGCUAAACCGGAUGCUUAUAGAUGGAUCCGCGCUGAAUUAGCUAGUUGGUAAGGUAACGGCUUACCAAGGCAACGAUGCAUAGCCGACUUGAUAGGGUGAUCAGCCACACUGGGACUGAGACACGGUCCAGACUCCUACGGGAGGCAGCAUUGGGUAAUCUUCCGCAAUGGGCGAAAGCCUGAUGCAGCCAUGCCGCGUGUAUGAAGAAGGCCUUCGGGUUGUAAAGUACUUUCAGCGGGGAGGCGUUACCCGCAGAAGAAGCACCGGCUAACUCCGUGCCAGCAGCCGCGGUAAUAC